Molecule: transfer RNA, 73 nt
Filed under: Saccoglossus kowalevskii
Lineage: Eukaryota; Metazoa; Hemichordata; Enteropneusta; Harrimaniidae
Description: tRNA-Tyr
Rfam family: tRNA
About the family: Transfer RNA (tRNA) molecules are approximately 80 nucleotides in length. Their secondary structure includes four short double-helical elements and three loops (D, anti-codon, and T loops). Further hydrogen bonds mediate the characteristic L-shaped molecular structure. tRNAs have two regions of fundamental functional importance: the anti-codon, which is responsible for specific mRNA codon recognition, and the 3' end, to which the tRNAs corresponding amino acid is attached (by aminoacyl-tRNA synthetases). tRNAs cope with the degeneracy of the genetic code in two manners: having more than one tRNA (with a specific anti-codon) for a particular amino acid; and 'wobble' base-pairing, i.e. permitting non-standard base-pairing at the 3rd anti-codon position.
Source: RNAcentral
CCUUCGAUAGCUCAGUUGGUAGAGCGGAGGACUGUAGAUCCUUAGGUUGCUGGUUCGAAUCCCGCUUGAAGGA